RNAcentral lists this ribosomal RNA (267 nucleotides) under uncultured prokaryote. Its description in RNAcentral is "partial 16S ribosomal RNA". It matches the Rfam family "Bacterial small subunit ribosomal RNA", at positions 524 to 788 of the family's 1533-position model. The record is from RNAcentral.
GACGUAGGGGGCGAGCGUUGUCCGGAUUUAUUGGGUUUAAAGGGUGCGUAGGCGGCUUUUUUAAGUCAGCGGUGAAAUUUUGUAGCUUAAACUGUAACAGUGCCGUUGAUACUGGGGAGCUAGGAUUUGGUUGCUGUGGGUGGAAUGUGUGGUGUAGCGGUGAAAUGCUUAGAGAUCACACAGAGUAUCGAUUGCGAAGGCAGCUCACAAAGCCAAGAUUGACGCUGAGGCACGAAAGUGUGGGGAUCAAACAGGAUUAGAUACCCU